ACUAAGGUGGCUGAAAAUAGGCAAUAAACUGUAAAUUUAUUUAUGAAUUAAGUUUCUCUUAGUA
This 64-nucleotide transfer RNA is filed under the name Populicerus populi. Its description in RNAcentral is "tRNA-Tyr". The record is from RNAcentral. Lineage: Eukaryota; Metazoa; Arthropoda; Insecta; Hemiptera; Cicadellidae.